UGGGGAAUAUUGCACAAUGGGGGAAACCCUGAUGCAGCGACGCCGCGUGAGUGAAGAAGUAUUUCGGUAUGUAAAGCUCUAUCAGCAGGGAAGAGAAUGACGGUACCUGACUAAGAAGCCCCGGCUAACUACGUGCCAGCAGCCGCGGUAAUACGUAGGGGGCAAGCGUUAUCCGGAUUUACUGGGUGUAAAGGGAGCGUAGACGGCAUAGCAAGUCUGAAGUGAAAUACCCGGGCUCAACCCGGGAGCUGCUUUGGAAACUGUUAGGCUGGAGUGCUGGAGAGGCAAGCGGAAUUCCUAGUGUAGCGGUGAAAUGCGUAGAUAUUAGGAGGAACACCAGUGGCGAAGGCGGCUUGCUGGACAGUAACUGACGUUGAGGCUCGAAAGCGUGGGGAGCAAACA
Molecule: ribosomal RNA, 402 nt
Filed under: uncultured bacterium
Lineage: Bacteria
Description: bacterial SSU rRNA
Rfam family: Bacterial small subunit ribosomal RNA
Source: RNAcentral